This 410-nucleotide long non-coding RNA is filed under the name Hordeum vulgare. Its description in RNAcentral is "long non-coding RNA (HVUL_LNC006329)". Lineage: Eukaryota; Viridiplantae; Streptophyta; Magnoliopsida; Poales; Poaceae. The record is from RNAcentral.
GACAACAUAAAGGAAAGAUUUGGAAUCCAAAGAGGCAAACAACCGUUCAUACUUGAUGUAGGACAACCACUAUCACAUCGUGUAUGAAUGUAGGAAAAGGAAGCACCGGGAAAUGAGGAGGAACAGCUCGAGCAGAAAACGGAACAGUGAAAUCAAAAUGCCCUAUGGAAGUAUGCACCUCCUCCCCAUAGGUGCCUUGAGCACAAGCUCAGCCCUUCUUUGUACCUUUCUGUACUGCGCUGAGAGUGCGCUAUUGCCGAUGUUAGAAAACAUGCACAUCACUGGCUAGUCGCCUCCUUUGGACGCCGCACGACACAAGCCCACCUUUUUUUUGAAACAGAGGCAAAAGAUUUACCUCAUUGAUUAAUUAAGAAGAAGAGAAUUGUCUAGUUAAUUAACAUAAAAUCAGG